CGAACGGUUAGCCAUCCAUACGAUUGUUACCAUUCGUAUGAUUCCCCUCGUUUAGGGGAAUCUAUCUACCGAACGCCGGGGUGUUCGUGUGUUAGCUUCGUAUUGUCGGAGCACGCUGGAGGUCUUAGCGGUGCUUGGUUAGUCGAAUGCCCGGUUUGAGUUCCAGGCGUUCGACAACCAAGUACCGCUGUUCGUGCGUAAGAUGGCCGCCGCCAUGUGUUCGGUAGGCGAAAUGGCG
Non-coding RNA from Pelobates cultripes (western spadefoot toad), 238 nucleotides. The record is from the annotation of a GenBank genome assembly. NCBI's taxonomy places the organism in Eukaryota, Metazoa, Chordata, Amphibia, Anura, Pelobatidae.